GGAUGUGUUUUCUCUUUGAAUCUUUAAUUUUAAUUUGUGGGGUUUAAGGGUUUUUAAUGUGAUUUGAUUCUUUAUAACUUUUCCGAGGUUGCUUUUCUCAUUUUGGAUUUUUUGAGGUUUUGGUACACUUGUUGCUCUCUCUCUCUCUCUCUCUCUCUUCUUUUAUCUUAAUAUGGAAAAAAAUUCUAUCCUUUUUGGUCUAUUUGGUAUAUCAAUACAUUUUUUCUGUGUUAGUUGGGUGUUUUGUGUGGACUUGCUGAAUUGUUUAGUGCUUAAUUUGUUGUGGUGCUGCAAUAAGGAAUAGUUUUUAGUUCUGUUUAUAAAUUUUCUUGUUCUUUAUGCAAAUACUAUAUCAUAAUGUUGUGAUGUGAAUAAGCCUUUGUUAAAUGAAUCUUGUUUGUUUUCCUUGUCCAAAAUAGAGAAUCUUUUAUUGUUUUGUGGUGUAUUCUUUGUGUUCUGUUUAACUGGCUGAGAUAGGGUGGUUCUACUAGUAUCCCUGUUUGUCUACCUAUACGGAGUUAGAUUUCGCAUAUGCUCACUCGUCUAACAGUAAUUAUCUCAGAAAGUUACUUUCGUCGUUGUAAAAAAUUGGAAUCAAGAAGAAGAGACUUUUUUACAUAAGAAUGAUUAAUUGAGUGACCAUCUGAGCAAUCAAAGCUCCCUAUUUGUGGGAGGUUCAAAUUUGCCGAUGUACUAUUUGGAAUGACUUAAUUUUGCCAAAAGUGCAUUUAUAUCGUUGCCUUUAGCAAAUUGUCUCAUACUUGUCAUUUGGCAUUAAUGGAGCUCGAACGUGUUUAGGGGUGGACUCCACGUGUUCAAUUUAUCCGAGGAAGAGAGGUCCAAUUUAUUUUUUUCAGGUUCUGUCUAUCAUUGAGAAGUUCCAUUAGGGAUCAAGGGCGAAGAGCGAGACAUUUUCCAAAUAACGGGGCAAAAUUAGACCAAAGUAUAACGGAUGGCAAAUACUAUAUCUUGAUGCUGUGAUAUGAAAAAGCCUAUGUUAAGUGAAUCUUUUUUGUUUUCCUUAUUGAAAAGAGAAUCUUUUAGUUUUGUGGUGUUAGUUUUUGUAUUUUGUUCGACUGGCUGAGAUGGAGUGAGUAUCCCUGUUUGUCUCCCUAAUUGGAGUUGAUUUCUUGUAUCGUCACUCAACUAAUAUAAUAGUAAUUAUCUCAAAAAGUUAAAUUCUUUGUUGUGAAAAUUUGAAAUUAAGAAGAAAGAUGACUUGAUAAUAACUAUCAAUUGAGGGAUCAUGUCAACCCCAUUAUUUCUGUGAGGUUCAAAUAUUCCCCUGUACUAUUUCCAAUGACUCAAUUUCCCAAAAGUACAUUUAUGUCCUUGACGUUGGCAAAUCAUCUCAUAUUUGUCAUUUGGCAUUUAUGGAGCUCGGGUGUGAUUAGGGGUGGACUCCACGUGUUCCAAUUUUCUUGCCAAUUUUUCACUCUAUGAUUGAGGAAUUCCAUCAAGGUUGAAGAGCGACGAGACUCUUUCCUAACGAUGGGGCAAUAUUAGACCAAAGUAUGACGGAUAGAGAAAGUGAGAUGUUUUGAAUAGGACUGGGAAAAAUUCGACCCUUACCCUUUUCUUAAUGUGAUUUUUCAAAUGCAACUCCUAGCGUACAACAACAACAUACCCAGUAUAGUCCCAUGAGUGAGAUCUACGGAGGGUAGUCCCAUGAGUGAGAUCUACGGAGGGUAGAGUGUACGGAGACCUUGCCCCUUUCUUGGCAGGUAGAGAGGCUGUUUCCAAUAGACCCUUGGCUCAAAGAAAGCAAUAAAGAUUACAAUUUCAAAGUAAUUCCUAGUGUAUUCAGAUAAAAUUUUAUUCUUGAUGUUCAUUUUAUGUGCUUUACACCUAGAGUUUGUCCUUCAUCCCUACUUGAUGUAUGUCUUUGACUUCUUGUUUCGGUAUUAACCACAAGGAGAUUCACUUCAUUAAUGUUGUUCCUUCUUUUUGCAAGUAUUUUGAUAAUCCGGUGAGUUUGAUUCUGUUAUGUUCCUAACUAAUGCAUCUAGACUCUCGAGAUUGGCUCCAUUUGACGUAGUAUUCCCCAC
This 2048-nucleotide long non-coding RNA is filed under the name Capsicum annuum. Its description in RNAcentral is "long non-coding RNA (CANN_LNC005990)". Lineage: Eukaryota; Viridiplantae; Streptophyta; Magnoliopsida; Solanales; Solanaceae. The record is from RNAcentral.